GAAAGCCCCACAGUGCCAUUUGCCAUCUGAAAGGGGAACCGUGGUGAGGAGAGGAAGGGAGUGGGAGGAAGCCAAGACGGUGGCCGGGGGCGGCAGCAUUUGCAGGUGGCAGGAAGAGGCUUUUGGGAGAAAGUAAAAGUGAACAGAGGAAGAAAAGAGCAAAAAAAAACCCCAGCGGGACAGGGGCUCCGGGUGGCACGAGCAAGCCCCACGCAGAGCACCCCAGGGCCCUCGUCAUGAUGCUCCCGUUGUCCCCGGGGCCGAGGUCCUUGGGGCGGCAGUUGGAGCAGGGGGGAGAGGGACGGUGUUUGUGCCCCCCAGCCCGGCCGCCCCCGCCCCACACUCCCACAGCCAGGGCCCGUGGGCAGCCCCCAGGGGUGGUCCCCAUGGCUGGACCCCGCAGCUGGUCCCCACAGGACGUCCCCAUGCUUGGUCCAGGUGCUCGAUCCCAUGUCCAUGAGCUACCCCCAUGGCCAGUGCCAUGGGCAUUACGCGGUGCCUGCUCCCCUUGGCUGGUCCCCACAGCUGGUCCCCUGCCUGGUCCCUGCCCCAGUCCCCAUGCCUGGUGCCCAUACCAGGUCCCCAAGGCUGGUCAGGGUGCCUGGUCCCUGCAGCUGGUCCCUCCACCCGGUCCCCACACCCAGACCCCAUAGCAGGUCCCCAGACCCUCUACCCAGCCCUCACACCCCGUGCCCAUUGCUGGCUGCUACACCCAUCCCCACACCUGGUCCCCAGCCCUGCUCUCCAGGCGGGCAGGGCUCCGCAGGCAGCAUCACUGGGAGCCCAUGGGCCACAUGCCAUCACCGGGGCCAUCGCUGGCCUCUCCCUCCCCACCGGGGCCAUCAUCAGGCUCACCAUCCCUACCAGGGCCAUCACCGGGGCCAUCAUUGGGCUCACCAUCCCCACUGGGGCCAUCACCGGGGCCAUCCCUGGGCUCGCCAUCCCCACCAGGGCCAUCACCGGGGCCAUCCCUGGGCUCACCACCCCCACUGGGGCCAUCCCUGGGCUCACCAUCCCCACCGGGGCCAUCACUGGGGCCAUCCCCACCGGGGCCACCCCCAGGCUCACCACCCACACCAGGGCCCUCCCCAGGCACACCAUCCCCACUGGGGCCAUCACUGGGGCCAUCCCCGGGCUCACCAUCCCCACCGGGGCCAUCCCCGGGCUCACAACCCCCACCGGGGCCCUCCCCAGGCUCACCAUCCCCACCGGGGCCAUCACUGGGGCCAUCCCCGGGCUCACCAUCCCUACCGGGGCCAUCCCCGGGCUCACCAUCCUCACUGGGGCCAUCACCGGGGACAUCACCGGGUUCACCAUCCCCACCGGGGCCAUCGCCGGGGCCAUCCCCAGCUGGGGGGGUCAACACCCACCACCACAGCAGCCCCAUCCCACUACAGCUUGGGGCGCCUGUCCUGGACCCCAUCCCUGGGACAGAGCCCCUUCAGCAGAAGGAAAUCCACCCCCCUCCCCCCCAUCGCCCCGGCCUUUCUUCUCCGCUCCCCCUGUUUCUAAUUCUUUUUCCUCGCCCGUAAUGAGGGGAUUACAAGGCAAACUCCAGCAGGACGCCUUUGUGGGGAGACAAUCUGAGUGGGGAAGGCAGUUCGGGGCUUUGUCCGCCGCCGCCCCCCCGGACCCGCGCUGGGGGGACAUUUAGAGCAAUUACUUGUCCAGAAAGUAACUGUCAAUCAUUCUUAAAGGGGAAGGCCUCCAAUUAAUAACCUCGUCUUAAUCCUUUGGACUCAUUUCCAAUCUGCGGUGCCUUGGUGACAUCUGCAACACUAAAUAAAGAUUCUCCCGAGCCUUAGCGCGGUGGUUCUGUGACAAAUAAGAAGACUAGAGGCAACUUUGGCUGCCAAAGCUGCGAGAUUGGUGAGGUUGAGCCGCUUGUUUGGUUCCCAGGAGGGACCGGCAAAGUUAAAUACUCCUGGAAAAGCCGAGUUGGGCCCAGCAGGUGCGGAGCUGCGCAAAUGAGAAGCGGG
Falco peregrinus (peregrine falcon) is the source of this 1979-nucleotide RNA transcript. It is a transcript of the gene named retina and anterior neural fold homeobox 2, with no coding region annotated. The record is from RefSeq and is a predicted model, not a curated record. Lineage: Eukaryota; Metazoa; Chordata; Aves; Falconiformes; Falconidae. The transcript is spliced from 2 exons.